RNAcentral lists this long non-coding RNA (326 nucleotides) under Phoenix dactylifera (date palm). RNAcentral's name for it is "long non-coding RNA (PDAC_LNC021345)". The record is from RNAcentral. Lineage: Eukaryota; Viridiplantae; Streptophyta; Magnoliopsida; Arecales; Arecaceae.
UUAAUCCCCUUGAUUCAAUCCCCCGAUUGAACCAAGUAAAUACAGUGUGUAAAAGAAAACAGAAAACAGCUUCUCAAAAAGCAGAUAAAAACAAUAUGAACAAUAAAUGAAGUUAAGAAGCCUCAAAUGCUUUUAGAUCGGAGAUGAGGAAUGGCUUCUUGAACUUCUGGUCUCCUCUUGAAAGUGUGGUCGACUUGAAUGCAGGAGGAGGAAGCUUUUAAUGUUGAGAAGAUGUAGUUGGAUGCAGUUAUUGCAGAUCUUCUCUCUUUUUCGUUGAAGAACAAGUUGCAGAGUUGAAAGCUUGAAUGCUUGGAGUGGAAUGGUUG